This 627-nucleotide ribosomal RNA is filed under the name uncultured Gemmatimonadota bacterium. RNAcentral's name for it is "bacterial SSU rRNA". It matches the Rfam family "Bacterial small subunit ribosomal RNA", at positions 8 to 658 of the family's 1533-position model. The record is from RNAcentral. Lineage: Bacteria; Pseudomonadati; Gemmatimonadota.
AGAGUUUGAUCCUGGCUCAGGACGAACGCUGGCGGCGUGCCUAACACAUGCAAGUCGAACGGGAUCCGCAAGGAUUCAGUGGCGAACGGGUGCGUAACACGUGAAGAAUUUGUCCAACGGCGGGGGAUAGCCGGCCCAACGGCCGGGUAAUACCGCGUACGACCUUCGAGGGGCAUCCCUCUUUGGUGAAAGCCGCAAGGCGCCGAUGGAGAACUUCGCGGCCUAUCAGCUAGUUGGUGAGGUCAUGGCUCACCAAAGCGACGACGGGUAGCUGGUCCGAGAGGAUGACCAGCCACAUUGGGACUGAGACACGGCCCAGACUCCUACGGGAGGCAGCAGUGGGGAAUAUUGCGCAAUGGGCGAAAGCCUGACGCAGCGACGCCGCGUGUGGGAUGACGGCCUUCGGGUUGUAAACCACUGUCGGGAGGGACGAAGCUCUGACGGUACCUCCAAAGGAAGCACCGGCUAACUCUGUGCCAGCAGCCGCGGUAAUACAGAGGGUGCGAGCGUUGUCCGGAAUCACUGGGCGUAAAGGGCGCGUAGGUGGCCUGGUAAGUAGGGGGUGAAAUCUCGCGGCUCAACCGCGAGGCUGCCUCCUAAACUGUCAGGCUUGAGCAGAGUAGAGGC